GAGUUUGAUCCUGGCUCAUGACGAACGCUGGCGGCGUGCUUAACACAUGCAAGUCGAACGGUAAGGCCCCAGCUUGCUGGGGUACACGAGUGGCGAACGGGUGAGUAACACGUGGGUGACCUGCCCCGCACUUCGGGAUAAGCCUGGGAAACUGGGUCUAAUACCGGAUAGGACCGCACCGUGAGGGUGUGGUGGAAAGUUUUUCGGUGUGGGAUGGGCCCGCGGCCUAUCAGCUUGUUGGUGGGGUAAUGGCCUACCAAGGCGGCGACGGGUAGCCGGCCUGAGAGGGUGGACGGCCACAUUGGGACUGAGACACGGCCCAGACUCCUACGGGAGGCAGCAGUGGGGAAUAUUGCACAAUGGGCGGAAGCCUGAUGCAGCGACGCCGCGUGGGGGAUGACGGCCUUCGGGUUGUAAACUCCUUUCACCAUCGACGAAGGUUUUCUGACGGUAGAUGGAGAAGAAGCACCGGCUAACUACGUGCCAGCAGCCGCGGUAAUACGUAGGGUGCGAGCGUUGUCCGGAAUUACUGGGCGUAAAGAGCUCGUANGUGGUUUGUCGCGUCGUCUGUGAAAUUCCGGGGCUUAACUCCGGGCGUGCAGGCGAUACGGGCAUAACUUGAGUACUGUAGGGGAGACUGGAAUUCCUGGUGUAGCGGUGAAAUGCGCAGAUAUCAGGAGGACCACCGGUGGCGAAGGCGGGUCUCUGGGCAGUAACUGACGCUGAGGAGCGAAAGCAUGGGUAGCGAACAGGAUUAGAUACCCUGGUAGUCCAUGCCGUAAACGGUGGGCGCUAGGUGUAGGGGUCUUCCACGACUUCUGUGCCGUAGCUAACGCAUUAAGCGCCCCGCCUGGGGAGUACGGCCGCAAGGCUAAAACUCAAAGGAAUUGACGGGGGCCCGCACAAGCGGCGGAGCAUGUGGAUUAAUUCGAUGCAACGCGAAGAACCUUACCUGGGCUUGACAUAUACGGGAUCGCCGCAGAGAUGUGGUUUCCCUUGUGGCUCGUAUACAGGUGGUGCAUGGUUGUCGUCAGCUCGUGUCGUGAGAUGUUGGGUUAAGUCCCGCAACGAGCGCAACCCUUGUCUUAUGUUGCCAGCACGUUAUGGUGGGGACUCGUGAGAAACUGCCGGGGUCAACUCGGAGGAAGGUGGGGAUGACGUCAAAUCAUCAUGCCCCUUAUGUCCAGGGCUUCACACAUGCUACAAUGGUCGGUACAGUGGGUUGCGAUGCCGUGAGGCGGAGCUAAUCCCUUAAAGCCGGUCUCAGUUCGGAUCGGGGUCUGCAACUCGACCCCGUGAAGUCGGAGUCGCUAGUAAUCGCAGAUCAGCAACGCUGCGGAGAAUACGUUGCCGGGCCUUGUACACACCGCCCGUCA
This 1376-nucleotide ribosomal RNA is filed under the name uncultured bacterium. RNAcentral describes it as "16S ribosomal RNA". It matches the Rfam family "Bacterial small subunit ribosomal RNA". The record is from RNAcentral.